RNAcentral lists this ribosomal RNA (253 nucleotides) under uncultured bacterium. RNAcentral's name for it is "partial 16S ribosomal RNA". It matches the Rfam family "Bacterial small subunit ribosomal RNA", at positions 524 to 776 of the family's 1533-position model. The record is from RNAcentral.
UACAGAGGUCUCAAGCGUUGUUCGGAAUCAUUGGGCGUAAAGGGUGCGUAGGCGGUAGAGUAAGUCUGGUGUGAAAUCCUGGAGCUUAACUUCAGAAAUGCACUGGAUACUGCUUUGCUAGAGGACUGGAGAGGAGAUUGGAAUUCACGGUGUAGCAGUGAAAUGCGUAGAUAUCGUGAGGAAGACCAGUGGCGUAAGCGAAUCUCUGGACAGUUCCUGACGCUGAGGCACGAAGGCUAGGGGAGCAAACGGG